Molecule: ribosomal RNA, 328 nt
Filed under: uncultured eukaryote
Lineage: Eukaryota
Description: partial 18S ribosomal RNA
Rfam family: Eukaryotic small subunit ribosomal RNA
Source: RNAcentral
CCCUUAGAUGUUCUGGGCCGCACGCGCGCUACACUGAUUCAUGCACUAAGUAUAUAACCUUGGUAGAAAUGCUUGGGUAAUCUUUGAAACUGAAUCGUGCUGGGGAUUGGAGCUUGUAAUUAUUCUCCAUGAACGAGGAAUUCCUAGUAAACGCGAGUCAUCAGCUCGCAUUGAUUACGUCCCUGCCCUUUGUACACACCGCCCGUCGCACCUACCGAUUGAAUGGUCCGGUGAAAUCUUCGGAUUGAGACUUUGAUUUCUUCACGGAAAACGCUGUUUUAAAAAGUUGAUUAAACCUUACCAUUUAGAGGAAGGUGAAGUCGUAACA